GGUGUGUGUGUAUGUAGGGGUGUGUGUUAUGUAGGGGUGUGUGUAGGUGUGUGUAUAGGGGUGUGUGUAGGUGUGUGUAUGUGGGGGGGUGUGUUAUGUAGUGUGUGUAGGUGUGUGUAGGGGUGUGUGUAGGUGUAUGUGUGUGUAUGUGUGUGUGUAGGUGUGUGUGUAUGUAGGGGUGUGUGUAGGGGUGUGUAGGGGUGUGUAGGGGUGUGUGUAGCUGUAUGUGUGUGUAGGGGUGUGUGUAGGUGUGUGUGUAUAGGGGUGUGUAGGUGUGUGUAGGGGUUGUGUGUAGGUGUAUGUGUGUCGGGGUGUGUGUAGGUGUGUGUAGGUGUGUGUGUGUAGGGUGUAUGUACAUGUAGGUGUGUGUGUGAGUGUGGGUGGCGCGAGGGUUCUCCAGCCCCAAGUGCGUUGGUAAGAACGCGAGGAGGGGAGAAGGACAGCUGGAACCGUCUGAGCGGCGGGGGAGCCGGUGUGUGAAGCCGGCACCACGUUAGCGGAACCGAGUUAUUGAAGGGCCCCACCUGGGUGGAGCCGUGAGUGUGAGCAGCUUCCGCUUCCCCCGGAAGCUGGCGUCGUGCAGGAACCCUCACCCGCCCGAGCGGGGCCCUGGGCCUCCGGGUCACUCUCUGUGGCGGGGUCUGGCUGCGCGUCAGACGGCCUCCUCCAAUGCCCGCAGUUGCUGUCGCCCCCAGGCCUGGACCGGGGAGUGAGGGGUGGGCCUGACCGGCCCCUGAGCUCCCGUCAGCCCCCCACGCGAGCCCGUCCUGUGCUGGGGGCAGGGAGAUGGGCCGGUGGGAGAGGAGACCGCAUCCAGCCCUCCCUGGCCACCUGCAGGGUCCCCACCGUGGCGGCUGCUUUACUGCUAACUCCUCCCGGGGACCCCAAGUCCCCAUCGCUCUCGGGGGUCCCCCUCAUCCGAACCGCCUCGGAGGAGGGCCGCAUCUCACGCGGAGCACCCCUCCACGCCUGUGACCCUGGACUUGCUCUCCCGCCCCCGCCCGGGCCUCAGGGCUCAGGAGGCCGUGAUGAAGCCAGCAGGUGAACUGCACCCUGGAGCCUCCGACGGGGCGGCCACGGGCAGCGAAGAACCCGGAAAAACAGUACCCUUCUGAGGUUAAUCCGCGUUGAUAGAAGCAGGUGUGGUUCAUCUGGAAUCUGUUGGUGUGAACUGCGCGGCGGCGUCCCCCACCAGGCACCACAGGUGAUUCAUUCGUUUCCCUGAAAAGGCGCCUGGAUGCUGUUUCUAGCUCCCGUUAUCCCCAGCGAUGCUGCACCUGCCCCAGGACACACGCUAGGGUGGAACCGCCGGGCAUGGAGCAGGUGUGGUCUCAACCGCAGGAGAAACAGCCGGGUAGCCUCCAAAGGGACGUGCCACUUGGCGCUCCUGCAAGGGGAGAGGCACUGAGGCUCUCGGUCCUCACCAGCACGUCCUUGUGCCACACUCAGGCCCGGCGGGUGGUGUGGGGGCCGCAUCUCAUGGAGGUCUCCGUCCACGUUGCCCCCAUUGUGACCGCAGCGGGCGCCUCUUGGUAGCAGCCACCGGCCUCUUCUGGGACUCGCCGGAGGGUUUCCACGUCGCCCGCUCCGACGGGGCUGUUCAUCUCCCCUUGAUCUGUGGGACUCCCCGUCCGUCUCAGAUGACAGAAUGGAGCCCUGGGCUUCUCCAUGAAGUUCCUGUGUGACCUAGGGCAAGGCACUGCCAUCUCUGAGCCAUCCUCGCUUUCCAUCUCUGUGAAAGGAAAAGGCUUGGACACGGAGCUGCCCCGCCUCUGACUGGACGUCCCUUCCCCACCCAGCGCCAGAGGAUCUUGUGAUCCAAGCAGUUGCAACCUCGCCGGGCUCCUGCGGCUCCCGCCAGUGGACCCAAGAAAAGCCAGGCCUGUCUGAGGUCCAGGCAUGGUGACCCCAGGUUACCCAGGGUGCUGGAGCCCUCUUCCGUGGCAGGGAGAGGCCACGUGCUCCUUCCUGCUCUGGUUCCACCCUCACUGGCCCCUGGUCCCCGCCUGUUUGAGGAGAUCCUGAGGGGGCUGCCGGGAGGACUGGUUCCAACGCUCAGGGCCUCCGCCUGGACUCUGGCCUGCAGGCUUGAGGAGGGAGAGGCCUGUCCUCCCUCACUGCCACUUCUCCCUUAUCAGUAGUAGGAGAGGUUACUAUGAAUAUUCAUAUGGCUCACAUGAAUAUUUAUGAGAACACUGCGCCGGGUCUAUCUUCUCGCCCUUGGGUCCCUCCAUAGCUUGCUAACUCGCUGCACCCACGGGUCUCUGUUGACCCUUGUACUCGAGCCAGCGAGGCGGCUUUCCCUCCACCGACAGAGGUCUGCCCGGCAGCCCCAGG
RNAcentral lists this long non-coding RNA (2337 nucleotides) under Homo sapiens (human). RNAcentral's name for it is "HSALNT0338941". The record is from RNAcentral. Lineage: Eukaryota; Metazoa; Chordata; Mammalia; Primates; Hominidae.